RNAcentral lists this ribosomal RNA (307 nucleotides) under uncultured bacterium. Its description in RNAcentral is "bacterial SSU rRNA". It matches the Rfam family "Bacterial small subunit ribosomal RNA", at positions 28 to 335 of the family's 1533-position model. The record is from RNAcentral.
GAUGAACGCUAGCGGGAGGCUUAACACAUGCAAGUCGAGGGGCAGCACGUCUUCGGAUGGUGGCGACCGGCGAACGGGUGCGUAACGCGUAUGCAACCUACCCUUAACAGGGGAAUAGCCCCAGAGAAAUUUGGAUUAAUACUCCAUAGUAUUACGGAUUCGCAUGUUUCUGUAAUUAAAGUUCCAACGGUUAAGGAUGGGCAUGCGUGACAUUAGCUUGUGGUGAGGUAACGGCUCACCAAGGCAACGAUGUCUAGGGGUUCUGAGAGGAUGAUCCCCCCANACUGGUACUGAGACACGGACCAGA